Molecule: long non-coding RNA, 324 nt
Filed under: Gossypium barbadense (sea-island cotton)
Lineage: Eukaryota; Viridiplantae; Streptophyta; Magnoliopsida; Malvales; Malvaceae
Description: long non-coding RNA (GBAR_LNC021738)
Source: RNAcentral
AUAGUAGAAGAAAUUGAGAAGAUGAACACACAAAUUUAACGUGGAAAAAUCCCUCAAAAGAGGAUAAAAAACCACGGGCAAAGAUAAUUUUACUAUAAUGGCAAAAGAAUGAAGAGUACAAAAGAUGGAGAUAAAAACUAAAUCCCGAAAACCCGAAAAACAAAGAACCCUCAAACGUAAACACAAAAUUCUCUGAAUGUGUUAUGAGUUCUAAUCUAAUGGGUGUCUCUUAAUUCUAAGAUUGUAAAGGAGCCUAUUUAUAGGCUAAAUUAGUAAGUCAAAUAAACUAUACUAAUAAAUGCUAAAUAUAUUAUACUAAUAAAU